Molecule: ribosomal RNA, 460 nt
Filed under: uncultured bacterium
Lineage: Bacteria
Description: partial 16S ribosomal RNA
Rfam family: Bacterial small subunit ribosomal RNA
Source: RNAcentral
CCUACGUGAGGCUGCAGUGAGGAAUAUUGGUCAAUGGGCGCGAGCCUGAACCAGCCAAGUAGCGUGAAGGAUGACUGCCCUACGGGUUGUAAACCUCUUUUAUAAAGGAAUAAAGUGAGGCACGUGUGCCUUUUUGUAUGUACUUUAUGAAUAAGGAUCGGCUAACUCCGUGCCAGCAGCCGCGGUAAUACGGAGGAUCCGAGCGUUAUCCGGAUUUAUUGGGUUUAAAGGGAGCGUAGAUGGGUUGUUACGUCAGUUGUGAAAGUUUGCGGCUCAACCGUAAAAUUGCAAUUGAUACUGGCAGUCUUGAGUACAGUUGAGGUAGGCGGAAUUCGUGGUGUAGCGGUGAAAUGCUUAGAUAUCACGAAGAACUCCGAUUGCGAAGGCAGCUUACUAAACUGCCACUGACAUUGAUGCUCGAAAGUGUGGGUAUCAAACAGGAUUAGAUACCCUUGUAGUC